RNAcentral lists this unclassified non-coding RNA (459 nucleotides) under Hevea brasiliensis (rubber tree). Lineage: Eukaryota; Viridiplantae; Streptophyta; Magnoliopsida; Malpighiales; Euphorbiaceae. The record is from RNAcentral.
AUAUAAGUGUUGGCAAACCAAACAAAAAGGGCUUAGGCCAUUUUGGAGAUGGGAAGCCUAGUUUCAAGCCUAAUUCAGUAUGGAUGGAGGCCUGCUAUUUGAUGAUCCACACUCUAGGCCCUGUAUUUCUCAACACUAACAAUUUUCAAGCUUUCAUUUCGGAGUUGCUGGUGAACUUGCCUUAUGAAUUUCUAUCUUUCAGUGCAACCUGAUGAAUAUCAUUAGCAGUGAAGGUUUAGAUAAAGCUACUUAUGAUAGCCAAACUACAAUGAGUAGGUGUCAAAUGAACUUUAUCUUUUUGCUUCCUUUCUCUUUUAUUGCAGGAUGGAUAUAGAUUAUUAAAGGUUAAAAUUUCCUGGUUUAGUUCAUUUUGUAUUCUUUAAAAUAUUCCUGGGAAUAUAAUAGGUGAUAUCUUAUGGAUUUUUUCCUGCAGUAAACUCUCUAAUUGUUAUUUCUCAU